AUGGCGACCGGCGCACGGGUGAGUAACGCGUAUCCAACCUGCCCUUUACAAUGGGACAGCCCGUCGAAAGGCGGAUUAAUACCGUAUGUUGUCAUGUUGAUGCAUAUUUUCAUGACCAAAGGCUUCGGCCGGUAAAGGAUGGGGAUGCGUCUGAUUAGCUUGCCGGCGGGGUAACGGCCCACCGGGGCGACGAUCAGUAGGGGUUCUGAGAGGAAGGUCCCCCACAUUGGAACUGAGACACGGUCCAAACUCCUACGGGAGGCAGCAG
This 268-nucleotide ribosomal RNA is filed under the name uncultured bacterium. Its description in RNAcentral is "partial 16S ribosomal RNA". It matches the Rfam family "Bacterial small subunit ribosomal RNA", at positions 88 to 354 of the family's 1533-position model. The record is from RNAcentral.